This 85-nucleotide transfer RNA is filed under the name Frigoribacterium sp. JB110. Its description in RNAcentral is "tRNA-Ser-TGA". It matches the Rfam family "tRNA". Rfam says of the family: Transfer RNA (tRNA) molecules are approximately 80 nucleotides in length. Their secondary structure includes four short double-helical elements and three loops (D, anti-codon, and T loops). The record is from RNAcentral. RNAcentral also lists the same sequence under 1 other name. Lineage: Bacteria; Bacillati; Actinomycetota; Actinomycetes; Micrococcales; Microbacteriaceae.
GGAGGGUUGUCCGAGCGGCCGAAGGAGCCGGUCUUGAAAACCGGUGGGCGGCAACGUCCCGUGGGUUCGAAUCCCACACCCUCCG